GUGUUUUUAGUCAUUGUAGUUUCUAACCCAGUCUUCAAGGUACAUUGACGGUCCAGGUUUUGUCAAUGUGUCCACUAGAACAGAAUGUCGAAAUGCCUUUAUUCUGUACUCUUGGUGUAAUAAAAGGUCCUGAUGACUGAUCACGAGCUACAAUAUUCUCUUACAGCUUCUAUUAAAAAAAAAGAGAGAGAAACAGAAUGUGGAAAAUAAUUAUAUGGACAAAUAUCUAAAGCAAACACAAGUAACAAAAAAUAUUACAGAGGAUACACCUCUUCUAUGUUUGAAACUUCACAAAAAAAUGUGCCGAUAGAAAAGGAUGGUCAGAAAUAUAAAAAGAACUGCACGUGGCAACUAUGACCUAUUGAAUUGCCUAUUCUUUUGCAAUUGGCAAAACAAAGAACUUAAUAUUUGUUAUACUUAAACUGUAAUUUUCCAUUUCUUGAAUGAAAAUUAUGUUUGUAUUCUUUCUUGAUAAACUAAUUUAUUUUUGUUCUAGUGCAUUAACAGAUGCAGAUUAAAG
Non-coding RNA from Pelobates cultripes (western spadefoot toad), 520 nucleotides. NCBI's taxonomy places the organism in Eukaryota, Metazoa, Chordata, Amphibia, Anura, Pelobatidae. The record is from the annotation of a GenBank genome assembly.